Molecule: ribosomal RNA, 253 nt
Filed under: uncultured bacterium
Lineage: Bacteria
Description: partial 16S ribosomal RNA
Rfam family: Bacterial small subunit ribosomal RNA
Source: RNAcentral
UACGGGGUGGGCAAGCGUUGUUCGGAAUUACUGGGCGUAAAGGGCUCGUAGGCGGCCAACUAAGUCGGAUGUGAAAUCCCCAGGCUUAACCUGGGAACUGCAUCCGAUACUGGAUGGCUUGAAUCCGGGAGAGGGAUGCGGAAUUCCAGGUGUAGCGGUGAAAUGCGUAGAUAUCUGGAGGAACACCGGUGGCGAAGGCGGCAUCCUGGACCGGCAUUGACGCUGAGGAGCGAAAGCGUGGGGAGCAAACAGG